GUCGUCGCUGCCCUCAGCCUCCAGAUGCAGCCCCCCUGCCACCUUCAGGACCCCUGGCUCUCCCCUGGACUCAGUAGCGAAAGGGUUUAUGUGCUCGGAGGGAGACCUUCAGGAAUCUGUGCAUAGAAUGCCAUAGUGCAGAGGAAACAGCCCCAGAAAAUGGAACAGCUGCUAAGUGAGACUCCUCAGCCAGGCCAGAGAAUGUGCAUUCUGACGGACUGCUUCUCAUUUGCACUGAUCACUGUGAGUGUCUGAUGGGUGGGCAUCCGGCGCCCAGAGAAGGAGUUGCUCUAUUAUCCUGGCACUCCAUAAAGAACAGGUAGAAAUAAGCGCUUCUUACCAAGAUGAAAUCCACCCAUCAUUUCUGAAUGGCUCAGUUUUGAUUUCAUCUCCCAAGGUCUUCUUUCUGAAACCAGCCCAACUUUUCUCCCAGAGAGUAUCAUGGAACUGAACUUUCAAGAUCAUGGCAUCUGGACAUCGAGAAAACAGAACCCUCAUCUGGCCACCUGCUGCUUUUUGACCAAUUCCCAUAUAAACCGCUAACUUCAGUCAGUUGGAGGGAUGGAUUUGAGAUUUGCCUUCUGUCUCUCAGGUGAUGUCACCAGCAAUAAAGCCUUCUUCCCUGGC
This is a long non-coding RNA of Homo sapiens (human), 627 nucleotides long. Ensembl annotates it as TMEM132D antisense RNA 1. Its record names the gene TMEM132D-AS1. The record is from Ensembl. Lineage: Eukaryota; Metazoa; Chordata; Mammalia; Primates; Hominidae.